GUAAUCGUAGCUUAAAGGAAAGCGUGGCGUUGAAAAUGCCAAGAUGGCGCUUGCCCGAGAACA
Molecule: transfer RNA, 63 nt
Filed under: Amerotyphlops reticulatus (reticulate worm snake)
Lineage: Eukaryota; Metazoa; Chordata; Lepidosauria; Squamata; Typhlopidae
Description: tRNA-Phe
Rfam family: tRNA
About the family: Transfer RNA (tRNA) molecules are approximately 80 nucleotides in length.
Source: RNAcentral